UACGGGGGGGGCAAGCGUUGUUCGGAAUUACUGGGCGUAAAGGGCUCGUAGGUGGCCAACUAAGUCAGACGUGAAAUCCCUCAGCUUAACUGGGGAACUGCGUCUGAUACUGGAUGGCUUGAGUUUGGGAGAGGGAUGCGGAAUUCCAGGUGUAGCGGUGAAAUGCGUAGAUAUCGGGAAGAACACCCGUGGCGAAGGCGGCUCUCUGGGACGCAACUGACGCUGAGACGCGAAAGCGUGGGGAGCAAACAGG
RNAcentral lists this ribosomal RNA (253 nucleotides) under uncultured bacterium. RNAcentral's name for it is "partial 16S ribosomal RNA". It matches the Rfam family "Bacterial small subunit ribosomal RNA", at positions 524 to 776 of the family's 1533-position model. The record is from RNAcentral.